CUGUGGCAAGUGCUUUCAACAUGC
This 24-nucleotide non-coding RNA is filed under the name Arabidopsis thaliana (thale cress). The record is from RNAcentral. Lineage: Eukaryota; Viridiplantae; Streptophyta; Magnoliopsida; Brassicales; Brassicaceae.